Long non-coding RNA from Haliotis rubra (blacklip abalone), 155 nucleotides. RefSeq lists it as uncharacterized. NCBI's taxonomy places the organism in Eukaryota, Metazoa, Mollusca, Gastropoda, Lepetellida, Haliotidae. The transcript has 3 exons. The record is from RefSeq and is a predicted model, not a curated record.
UAAGGAACUUGAUUCUUUGAUAAACAGUGGAAGCUGUCAAAACCGGCAGCUGUCCAAUCCUGCAAGUUGUCAACAUCGGCAUAAAAACUCAGUCCCGUCUGUGGCUAGUACAUUUAUCAUCAUUUAAAAGCUCUUGCAAUCCGGCAGCUGUCAGU